Molecule: regulatory RNA element, 77 nt
Organism: Alkaliphilus oremlandii OhILAs
Lineage: Bacteria; Bacillati; Bacillota; Clostridia; Peptostreptococcales; Natronincolaceae
Rfam family: S10-Clostridia ribosomal protein leader
Source: Rfam
AAAUGGCGAUGAAGUGGAAGGUUGCCCAAAGGGGAAAUUUUCACAGAGCAUGUCUAGAUCAAAGAAUCGGGCGACAA